RNAcentral lists this ribosomal RNA (464 nucleotides) under uncultured bacterium. RNAcentral's name for it is "bacterial SSU rRNA". It matches the Rfam family "Bacterial small subunit ribosomal RNA", at positions 29 to 507 of the family's 1533-position model. The record is from RNAcentral.
AUUGAACGCUGGCGGCAUGCUUUACACAUGCAAGUCGAACGGCAGCACAGGGAGCUUGCUCCCGGGUGGCGAGUGGCGCACGGGUGAGUAAUACAUCGGAACGUGUCCUGUUGUGGGGGAUAACUGCUCGAAAGGGUGGCUAAUACCGCAUGAGACCUGAGGGUGAAAGCGGGGGAUCGCAAGACCUCGCGCAAUUGGAGCGGCCGAUGCCCGAUUAGCUAGUUGGUGAGGUAAAGGCUCACCAAGGCGACGAUCGGUAGCUGGUCUGAGAGGACGACCAGCCACACUGGGACUGAGACACGGCCCAGACUCCUACGGGAGGCAGCAGUGGGGAAUAUUGGGCAAUGGGGGAAACCCUGACCCAGUAACGCCGCGUGAAGGAAGAAGGCUUUCGGGUUGUAAACUUCUUUACCAGGGACGAAGAAAGUGACGGUACCUGGAGAAAAGCCACGGCUAACUACGUG